CUUCUUCACUCAUUUCCACAUUCGUCCACCAUUACUCUCCAUUUUCUCGCUCUCCAAGCAGAAAACCACCGUUUCCUCUCUCAAAACUUAAAUGCCUUUCUCUCCUCCAUAGAAACCAAAACCAUAACAAUAACAAUAUCAAUUCUGGCAUCCUCCGUUUGUUGAAUCAAUUCCACGAUUCUUUCUCUUUAAACCCACACAAUCUCUUAUUCACUGAAAGCCCCUCUUCUUCCUC
RNAcentral lists this unclassified non-coding RNA (235 nucleotides) under Hevea brasiliensis (rubber tree). The record is from RNAcentral. Lineage: Eukaryota; Viridiplantae; Streptophyta; Magnoliopsida; Malpighiales; Euphorbiaceae.